This 1004-nucleotide unclassified non-coding RNA is filed under the name Hevea brasiliensis (rubber tree). Lineage: Eukaryota; Viridiplantae; Streptophyta; Magnoliopsida; Malpighiales; Euphorbiaceae. The record is from RNAcentral.
AGAAAAUUAACCAUAAAUCGCUGAAAAUCUAAUUAAAAUAAGUGUAUACUUUUAUAAUGAAUAGCAAAAUUAUAAUCCAGUUAAAACAAAAGCUGCGACAGCAAUCUCAAUCCCUUGACCAGAACCAGAAAAAUAUUCUCAAGAAAUACAGAACCAGAAAUAUUAUACCAAAACUAUGAUUAAGAACCAUUCUUUAAAAACAACAAUAUUUACCAUAAUCCCACGUACAUAAACAUUCACACCCUUUCCAGAUCUUCCACGCCAACUUCAUCUCCACAGCUUCGAGCUCUUGACGAUCUCUCCCUAGUAACCAUCCAUCGAAAAGAGCCAAAUAGAGAUCCUGAUCCACCGGCCAAGGGUGGAGCUGAGGGUUGGACCUGGGCCUGAAACUCACUACUACCCAACUCUCUUCCCACUGGCUGGACCCUUGGCUCAGCCACAGUGCGACAUAUUGGACAAGUAGUGUUUGAUCCGAGCCACAUAUCAAUGCACUCUACAUGAAACAUGUGCUUACAGUUUGGUAAAAUCCUAACCAUGGCAUCUUCCACUAUGGUUCCCAAGCAAACUGAGCACUCUAUGGGUUCACCGUGGUUAAGCUCUUGCUGGUUGGUCGGCUUAUAUGCAACCGUCGGAAACGAGGCUAUGAUCAAAGGGUCAAGCCCUACCUUAGGUGGUUCGACGGUAACAUUAGACUCCAUAUCUGGUCCAAUUUGCCUGUUUUGGCGAUGAAGGGCGGAGCGUCGCCUCCUUUCUUGGCGGUUUAGGAGAUAUCUACAGUAAAGUUGGAGAAAAACUAUCAGCAACACCACCGCGAAUAAAGAAAAGAUCGCCGCGAGCAUGAUCUUCUGGCUAUCUCCAAGUUCAUCUUUAUCAUCGUCCUUGGAACCCAUGGUUAUGGUUAAUUGCUGGCUAUAGAAUUUGUUUGAUCAUUCUAAAUUUUCAUUGAAGUCAAGCAUGUAUUAAUUGUUUACGUAUGACAAUGUGAAUUGUUGAAAUCUGCGUGU